Molecule: long non-coding RNA, 1244 nt
Organism: Haemorhous mexicanus (house finch)
Lineage: Eukaryota; Metazoa; Chordata; Aves; Passeriformes; Fringillidae
Exons: 4
Source: RefSeq, a predicted model, not a curated record
GGUUGAAACAGCUUUCCAGUGACUGUCACACACUUCAGAGGUGUCCUGACGUGUAAGGAGAGACGAGCAGGAGGAAUGGGGGAAGAACAAGCCCAGGGAUCUGUUGUCUUUUUAGAAGCCUCAGCCAUGACUGAUGAACUCAGCAUAAAGCCACUGAAUGAAGGGAAAAGAGACUCAGACAAAGAAUCUAUGUUAAAUGUGACCAAAAAUUCUGAAGGACAGUUUAACCUUGAGGCUGCAAUUAAAAAUGUUGACACAAUGUCCAAUGAGUUGAAGAAAAUAAAUGUGGAAAGCCAGCUACUGCUUUGUGACCUGAUUUUGAAUUUCAAUCAUCCUACGAAGGCCAAAGAUUUAAGAGAAGCUGAAGAAAAGACUUGGAGUUUGACUGAUUAAAUAACAUCCAUUUUCAUGUACUGCCUUCUAUUAAUACUGCUGAAGCUGCUUCUUCUUUCUUCUUUCUUCUAAUUAAGUUUGAACUGUAUAAUGACAGCAUGGUUUCCUGCAGGUAGACUAUUUUUAUUUUAAGCUAAACAUGUGGAAUGGAAAAAAACCUAGGUUAUUGGUUACGAGAGUGGUUUUUUCAACCCACAUUUCCCAAAUUAAGCCCACUAGGGCUGGAAAAACUGAUGUAAUGAAUUAAAAAGGUCAGGAAACUGGGCAUGAAGUUUCUCAUGUGGUUUUCUCCUUUUAAACAAAAACGUGUUGGAGCAGUAGCAAAGAUUUGAAAUUUACUUCAAGUCACUGUCUCUUGUCUCAGUUGUGCCUGGGGAAACAGGAUAAGAAACUGCCAGUGAAGGAGGAACUGCAGUUUGUGUUUUGAGCUGCCUUCCUCGUCUUAAAAAUGUUGCUGAGGAAGGGGUCAAAGAGCAGAUUUCUUCUGGAAAACCAAAACUGCUUUCCAUUCCAGUUUCUGUAAUGACUCUCUAAUGCAACUAGCUACAAAAAUAGGGAGGAGAUUGUGGUUUCAAUGCUCUACCCUGAAAUCUUGUUGGCCCAACAUUUGCACAGCCACUAUUUUCAUGUAGUUCACUACAAUAAAUAUUCAAUCAUACUUUACUUGGGGACGUAUUUGAAUGUUGAGAUGUAGCUUUAUUCUUAGACCAAAUAUAUUUCUCUGAAUAAUCCAAUAGAGAUUAAUUCUACUUUUAAAAAAUAUGCAGUGUUAGAAUUUGUUAUGCUGGUUUAUGUUUUAUUUCUCUUUCGCCGGUGAGAUGAUUUAAAAUCAAUAAAACACAAUUCCAUAG